RNAcentral lists this ribosomal RNA (518 nucleotides) under uncultured bacterium. RNAcentral's name for it is "bacterial SSU rRNA". It matches the Rfam family "Bacterial small subunit ribosomal RNA", at positions 8 to 518 of the family's 1533-position model. The record is from RNAcentral.
AGAGUUUGAUUCUGGCUCAGGAUGAACGCUAGCGACAGGCUUAACACAUGCAAGUCGAGGGGCAGCAUAGAAGUAGCAAUACUUGGUGGCGACCGGCGCACGGGUGAGUAACGCGUAUGCAACCUACCUAUCAGAGGGGAAUAACCCGGCGAAAGUCGGACUAAUACCGCAUAAAACAGGGGCACCGCAUGGUGAUAUUUGUUAAAGAAAUUCGCUGAUAGAUGGGCAUGCGUUCCAUUAGGUAGUUGGUGAGGUAACGGCUCACCAAGCCGACGAUGGAUAGGGGAACUGAGAGGUUGGUCCCCCACACUGGUACUGAGACACGGACCAGACUCCUACGGGAGGCAGCAGUGAGGAAUAUUGGUCAAUGGGCGGGAGCCUGAACCAGCCAAGUCGCGUGAAAGGAAGAAGGAUCUAUGGUUCGUAAACUUCUUUUGCAGGGGAAUAAAGUGCAGGACGUGUCCUGUUUUGUAUGUACCCUGAGAAUAAGGAUCGGCUAACUCCGUGCCAGCAGCGGC